GGGCUUCACACGUCAUACAAUGGUGCGUACAGAGGGUUGCCAACCCGCGAGGGGGAGCUAAUCCCAGAAAACGCAUCGUAGUCCGGAUCGUAGUCUGCAACUCGACUACGUGAAGCUGGAAUCGCUAGUAAUCGCGGAUCAGCAUGCCGCGGUGAAUA
Molecule: ribosomal RNA, 158 nt
Filed under: Pseudomonas sp.
Lineage: Bacteria; Pseudomonadati; Pseudomonadota; Gammaproteobacteria; Pseudomonadales; Pseudomonadaceae
Description: partial ribosomal RNA
Rfam family: Bacterial small subunit ribosomal RNA
Source: RNAcentral